This 499-nucleotide ribosomal RNA is filed under the name uncultured bacterium. RNAcentral describes it as "partial 16S ribosomal RNA". It matches the Rfam family "Bacterial small subunit ribosomal RNA", at positions 28 to 523 of the family's 1533-position model. The record is from RNAcentral.
GAUUAACGCUGGCGGCAGGCAUAAUACAUGCAAGUUGAACGAGAUAAGUUUUAGCAAUAGAACUUCGAAAGUGGCGCACGGGUGCGUAACACGUAUGCAACCUACCUUUUACUGGGGAAUAGCCUCUCGAAAGAGAGAUUAAUACCCCAUAAUAUAUUGAUAAGGCAUCUUAUUAAUAUAAAGUUACGGCAGUAAAAGAUGGGCAUGCGGCUGAUUAGGUAGUUGGUGAGGUAAUGGCUCACCAAGCCGACGAUCAGUAGGGGGUCUGAGAGGAUGUCCCCCCACACUGGUACUGAGACACGGACCAGACUCCUACGGGAGGCAGCAGUAGGGAAUAUUGGACAAUGGGCGCAAGCCUGGUCCAGCCAUGCCGCGUGCAGGAUGAAGGCCCUAUGGGUCGUAAACUGCUUUUGUACGGGAAGAAACCUCACUGCGUGUAGUGAGUUGACGGUACCGUGAGAAUAAGGAUCGGCUAACUUCGUGCCAGCCGCCGCCGUAA